RNAcentral lists this ribosomal RNA (304 nucleotides) under uncultured Streptococcus sp. RNAcentral describes it as "bacterial SSU rRNA". It matches the Rfam family "Bacterial small subunit ribosomal RNA", at positions 1080 to 1382 of the family's 1533-position model. The record is from RNAcentral. Lineage: Bacteria; Bacillati; Bacillota; Bacilli; Lactobacillales; Streptococcaceae.
UUAAGUCCCGUCAACGAGACCGCAACCCCUAUUGUUAGUUGCCAUCAUUCAGUUGGGCACUCUAGCGAGACUGCCGGUAAUAAACCGGAGGAAGGUGGGGAUGACGUCAAAUCAUCAUGCCCCUUAUGACCUGGGCUACACACGUGCUACAAUGGUUGGUACAACGAGUUGCGAGUCGGUGGCGGCGAGCUAAUCUCUUAAAGCCAAUCUCAGUUCGGAUUGUAGGCUGCAACUCGCCUACAUGAAGUCGGAAUCGCUAGUAAUCGCGGAUCAGCACGCCGCGGUGAAUACGUUCCCGGGCCUU